UGUGUCGUCGAUGUCGCCAAAAGUCGUUCGAAAUGCCCUCACAUGCCAGGGUUUUCAUCGCUUCUGCCGUCGUGUGAUUACAUUCCCCGUAGUUUUUGCGAAAAACUGAGAUACUUUGCGUUUGAGAAAGCAUUCGUAUAAAUUUAUAAGAUUUAUAAGAUGCUGAUUCGAAUGGAAAUAGCAUUACAUCUGAAUCAAAACAUUUUAAUUCAGAUUAUUCUUUUCAAAGAGAGAGAUGAUUCUUGUAAAAGCUAUUCUUUUUUAUAGAAGUUAUUUUUAUAUGUGAAGAUUAACCGUUCAAUAAAAGGAAACUUAAACACAUUAGAGUUUGAAUGUAAUUUUAAUUUAUAAACAUUUUCGAAGCAUAGAAUUUUUAAUAUUUUACUAUAGUUGCAAAAAGAAACAUUAAAUUUCUUGAUACUCCCUUUUUUUAAGAGAGGCAACUAUAGAUAAUGGGUAUCUAGAUGUCGAUAUAGGUUAUUCUUGUUCUUGGGAAUGAAUCUCUUCAAGUUUGUUUGAUUAGCGCGCGAAGCUUAUUGAAAAUGUAAUUUGAAUGUCAUAACCUUCACUUGAGUCAAUCAGCGAGGCAUAAUAAUAAUAAUAGCGAAGAGAAUUCCAAUCCGGCAAAGGAGAAGAGCCUAGCAGUAAUGGUUUAGGACCCGAAAGCAAAUACUCGCGAUAAAUGCCAUUGCGUGCUGGGUGAUUCUGAUUCUGAUUCUGUUAGCAAAGGGCUUUUGGCUUGGCUGGCUGGUUGGUUGGUUGGUUGGUAUUGAAUUGGGCGAUCGGUGGAAAGGUUUGCUAAUGCCUCCGUUUCCAUUUAAGUGGUUUUUGAUUAGCUUUCGCCAUCGGCUUUUGGCACAUUCAGAGGGCACCGAGAUACGGGUGGCGGGCUUAGAUUCAGGCGAUGGAUGGUGGAUAGUGGAUAGUGGGUAAUGAGAGCUGCUUCAGUUGAAAUCCGGCACCGGCUUUUCCUUUGACGCAAGUACAAACGAGGGUAGAUAAAUAAGUACUAGUUACUACGUCAUUUGAGUGUUCUAUUUAUUCCAGGUUAAAAAGUGAUUUGUGAGGUUGUUUUUUUUUUUUUAACAAUUGGUAUGAUUUAGUAAAUUAUAAAUAUAUUUUUUUAUUUUAGGAGUAUAUGCGUUUUUGAUUAGUUGAUCAGAUAAGCAUGCUAGUUUUUGUAUGGAGUAAGAUUGUUAGAUGAGAAAAUAAUUAUAUCAUAUUAUAAUAUUUUCAUAGUUGCAAAGCAUGAUUGAAAACCUGUUUGGUUUCAAUAAGUUUUUGAAAGUAACCUCUUAGUUUAUUUCUAUGUAUAUGAAAUAUAUUUCUUAAUAACUGACGGUUUUCUUUUUCCACCUCCCUCGACUUGUUUAAUUGUGUUAACCGCUAGUCCAGUCAAGUGUCAUAAACACCGGGUGGAAAACCCAACGAAACAGAAACCGAAAAAAAAAAAACAAACAAAGAAACAACCAAAAAAAGUUGGCCUGCAUCCAUAAUCGCAUAUAUGUAUGUAGUGUGUAGUUGGUAAGUAGAGAGCGCAGCGAAAUAGACGGGGAAGUACGGGGUGAUCAGAAGGGGGCGGUGGGUGGACAUCAAAAGUUAGUUCAUUAAUUUGAAAAAACGGAAGAAAAAGAACAACAGAACAGAGCGCUGGCUUCAUGCAUGCUUGAGCACAGUAAAACCAAAGUCCGAAUCCACACUUGUCCCUAAGGUGUUUUUUAUUUUUCCGAUUCGCAGAUUACGCUUGUAAUUUACAGAUAUGUAACUCUUUAUGAUAUUCAUACAGAGUGGGAUUUAUUGAAAUAGGGAAAACUGUAUAUCACAAUUAGAUUUUUCCGGGUGAAGACUAAUUCUGAUUUCUUGAGGUGAGUUAAUGAAAUGAAUCAGUUUUAACUAAAAGAAUUUAGUUUUCAACGAACAAUUUAAUAUGUAUCAAGACUAAUGUUAAUUUAUUUAAAGUAACCAAUACAGUAUUGUAUUGUAUUAAUUUAAAAGGUAUAUAUGUACUUAUUUUAACCUAUAAAUAUACCCUCUUAACCACACACCUGGCGUUAUGGAAGGAUUUAUCCAAAUAAUUUAGUGCUGGGUAAUCCCGAUUCGUGUUUUUUCUCGCAGUGUAGAGUGCAGAACAGCAGUAAGCGGCAGUUAGCCACAGGCUACAGUUAAUACCACAACUGCAAGUGUUUUAAUUAUGGUGUUGCCGCGCUCUCCCCAUUUCCCCUGUGCAUCUGGAUCUAUUUUUGUUUCUCUGUACGAGCACACACGUAUAUGGCACGUUAUAUAAUGUGACACUAUAAUUCUCACCAGGGUCCAAAGCCACCGUUGUCGUCGCUCAACACCCACCUGAACCACUCCGCCCACCUGAGCACCAGCCACCCACCUAGCCACCCACCGCCCACGUUUUGUCACAUUGCGUGCACUUGGCAAAUAAAAAGCGAGCGGCAAACAGUAGAAUGGGCGAAAAAGGGAAAACGAAUUGCCAGUGGCGCAAAAAAAAAAAAAAAAAAAAAAAAAAUAUUUGUAUCUAAUGACACGUACACAUGUGUGUGGGUCUUGGCUAAAAGGAUACUUGAGGGCUUAACAGGAUACUCGGCCAAAAUUUUGAAGGUCACCACCGCUGAAAGCAGGUGGAUGGAAGGGGGGAAGUGAAGGGGGAAGGGGCCUCUUGCUAGAACAACCUGACCAUUUGACCCAAAAAAAAAAAUUUCAAUUUCUCGUUUACUUUCCGAGAAACACACCCAAGAAACACACUCACACACACACACACAUAUAUAUAUACAAACACAUAGAGAGCGGCAGCUUAAUAAUACAUUUGACCUUUUGGCUUAGUUUAUUUUUUUUUCUUCAUUUUCGCUUUCCAUUUUGCGGCGCCAUUCGCUUGUUUAGCAUUGUAAGUUGUUUUUUAUUGUUCGGCCAUCUCUGCUCGUCGGAGUUGCAAAUGGCUGUUGCAUACUUCAAGGGGUUGAAGGGACUGAGGUCCUUGAGCUUGGAAUAGGCGGGCAAUGGCAUAAUUUCGGGCCACCGAUUUAUGGCCCAAGGUGUGAAUGGAAUGUGGGGGAAAGUCGCUCAAGAAUAGCGCAGAAAUAUUCAGAACUUGUGGGACAAUUGCGAAAUAUUUUAAGGGCUUAAGUAUUUUGUAUAUUUUAUUGAUUGUAUCUUUUGUAUCAAAAGAGUUUUCCCUUUGGAAACUUUUACAUUGCUUACUAUUUCUAUUUUUAGAAUUUGUUUAACUUAAACUUUAUAAUAAAUCCGUUCUAUCUUGAACCCUAGUUUUGUGCGUAGCUCAAGUUGAACUUUGUAUUUACUUUUGUAUUUAAAUUCAAAGUAUUUCCAUAAUGGAACUAUCUUCCAGUUCCCUCUGUUUGUUAGCCUGUCUCAUCUUUUAACUAAGAGCUUGUCAGUUCCUUUUGCAGUUGUUAUAAUUGCUGACACAUUUUCGAAAACCCUUUACCCUUUCGUUGGCGCUGUGUCCAUUGCAUACUUUUGUGUGCAUGCAAUUUUAAUGCCUAUUGGCAUUACACGACGACCCCGUCCUCCCUCUUGUUGCGAAAUUCAUGAGCCAGAGAGCUAUGAAAAUAUAAAUCAACACAGUUUUCUCCAAAGAAAGAGUUGCUAAGGGUGUAAACUGGGCUAAAUGUCGCAAUCUGAUGGCGAUGUGCAAAACAUGGCUUAUGGACUCUAGGGAAAACCGGCGGAAAUGGAUCGUUUGCUUUUGGAAAAUCCUUUUGCAAAGGUUUAUCUAAAGAUAAUAUAUUUUAAUAGAAGCAAAUUUGUCUGUGAUUGUUGGACAUCAGAUAAAAUAAAAAUGUAUCUGCAAGUAAAGAAACUUGGGAUGAUCUAUGAUUAUUUAUAUUGCAAAAUGUUAGUUUUUAUAUUGGCACUUUGGGAGCCGUGUUACCUAAAUACUGUCGGUUAUAACAUUUUUAUUAUAACCAAUUCUUGUUUGGCUUUUCUCCGAAAGGAAAUCAAAUCUAGCUUCAUUCCAGCAUCUUAAUUUUCGCACUUUCGGCAAGUUUCUCUCACUUCAACCGGCAGCUCAUCAAGUUGCAGUCGAAAUUUCGGUUUCAAUCAACGCUUCCUUCAGCAUUUUUGGCCGGCUGUCAGCUGUCCUUGCACUGGUUUUGCCUCCACCUCGAUUGCUCAACUUUUCGAGUGGCUUAUUGCCACCCCAUCAUCUUGGUUCACCUGCUGGAAGUACAACUCAUCUAUGGCUGCACGUGCUGCCAGCGAAUUUGAGGUACUUCUCCACUCAUUUUUAAGCCCCGAAAAAGUUGGGACGAUAUAAAUUUGCCAUGUGCCUUGACCUUUGAUCGACCACACACACACACACACUUAUACACAUACACCCUAAAUGCCCAUAAAAGGCGGAUAUGAGAGGGCGUGGCCCGACAAAUGGGGGAAAAAAGCAGAUGUCUCGGGUUUCUUUCCGGCCAAAACCGGAAUCAUUGCCAAAUGUGGCCAACAGUCAGUGGUUCUCUGAAAUUCAAAUGGGAACAAAUUAAGAAAGGAUCUGACAAUUUAAUUCCUAUGAAUGUUUAAAGAUUCCUCUUAAAGUAUUCCCCAAUUUGAAGUGUCCUUAAAUGCCAAACUUAACACAUCACCUCAGCGAAUGUAACUCAAACAAAUUCAAUUAAUUUGUGCGAUGGCCACACUGGGAGGAAAAAGGGGCGAAAACACCUGCGUUGGACAGCUUCAAUGCCGUCGACACCCACACCAUCCACAACCAACCCAACCAACUGCCCACCUCAACUGUCCCGAAUGAUGUUGAAAAAUUAAACAGCGUCAAAAAGUGAAAAUUCAAUGAAAAACAAAACAAAAUGCCAGCAAGUGCAUGUCAAAGUUGCAGACUGAAGGAUAACCUUAAAAAAAAUUAUAAAUAAAUGAUAGAGAGCUUAGCAGUUCACUAUUUUAUAGAUAACACGGGAGUAGGAUUUAAAAUUUCAUGGAAAAUCUCCAGAACUUUUUACAUAACACUAAUCUCAAUCCAGAUGUGCUAAACCAUUAUUUUGUUUUUGUUUGGUUGUUUGGAAACGAAAAGUUUGCCAGGUCGGCAAUAAAAACUGAAGAGCCAAGCAAACCGUUAAUUUCCUGACACCAAAAUUCAAAUUUCAAGGCGAAAUGUAAAUUAAAUGAAAAUUUAUAUUGUUUUUCUCACCACCCACAAAAACUUUGGCGGCGAAAACCGAGAGAAUGUGGAGCGUUUUUAAAGGGCGGAUCUUGUUUUUCUUGGUGCUUUUGCUGUGCCUGCGCUCAAUGUUUUUCUUAUGAUUGUUAAUUAGCAAACAGACAUCGCAAAUGUUUAAACAAUUGUAGCGGGGGCGACGGCCCAAAGGGAUUGUUGCCAGUCCAAUUGUAUAAACACUGCCAGGGAAGAAAACUUUAUGGACGAUUCGAUGAAGAUAAGCUGAGAAAAAAAAGGAGGUGCGAAUUUGGUUAUGCAAUACUUGAGUUUGUAGAAAAUUUCGGGGGAGCAUUCUUAUCUUUAUUAAAAAAGUUCUCCUGCGAUUUGUCAACUAUUGAAAAGUUCGAAACGAGAUAAAUAACAAAACAAAGUCAAGUGGAAGAUAAUGAUAAAAGUUUAAACUGAUUUCAGUUGUUAUUAGUUUUAGAAUUUAAAUAAAUAAUACUAAUUGAAGCGAUA
Drosophila ficusphila is the source of this 5641-nucleotide long non-coding RNA. RefSeq lists it as uncharacterized. Lineage: Eukaryota; Metazoa; Arthropoda; Insecta; Diptera; Drosophilidae. The transcript has 2 exons. The record is from RefSeq and is a predicted model, not a curated record.